GAACUUCACUGUCGGAUUCCUACUUCAAGCCCUGAAAGAAAGGAAGCCUGUUUGGUGAUCAUCAAAGAAUAGUUCGACUUUGAGCUGUCGAAGUUUGCGUCCUGAAUUGCACACCUGGAGUCUACCUCCUUUACUCAAUUAAGAAUUUGAUGGGAACCAAGCCUGCCAACAGAGGAUCCUGAAAGCUGAACUAGAUAUAAUUACAUUAUACCGCAAUUUUCUGUAAGAAAAUUGAUCAUCAGAAGAGAAAUCCCUAGAGCAAGCGAAAGAACUUAGAGAUCAAUUACCAAUGGUCUGAAGCCAAGUCCCUACUACUACAACCUAGUACGCUACAUGUGCUGAUGAAGACUAUGGAAUGUUCAAAAAGCGAUUAAUGUCAAAGCAAUCUCUGUGUGAAAAAGAAGAUCCUCUUGGUAAGUUUAUUUCUUGAAU
Molecule: long non-coding RNA, 432 nt
Organism: Stegodyphus dumicola
Lineage: Eukaryota; Metazoa; Arthropoda; Arachnida; Araneae; Eresidae
Source: RefSeq, a predicted model, not a curated record